AAACAUUUUUCGAAAAAUGUUUUUCUUUAUACCAAACACACUCUAUAUGUAAAAAUGGAAGAAUAAAUAAUCCAAAGACUAUUUGAUACCUCCAACCAAACACAAGAUAUUUUUAUAUAGUGUUUUAUUUCGAAAUUAUUACGACUUAUAAUCUCUCACACCAAACUACUCUUCUAGGUAAACUUAUGCAUUGUAGUGUGCAGAUCAAAAAAGUCGAUCAAUGAUUUAAUUAAAAAAUGACGUACCUGAGAUAUAUGAAUGAAAAAACUCAAUAAAUUUAAAAAUUUAUUUAUGAGUUCGACCAUUUUUUUAUAUCACGUGGUAAUAGAUAACAUGUGAUUCUAACAAGAGACGCUUGCUGGUGUUUGCUUGAUACUCAAUUUGUUCAAUUUACUUUUUCUUUAUUUCGUUUAAAAUAGAAUGACCAUUAUAAUAACUUUUUAGUUUUAUUUUUUUUGACAUGAUAUGAUAACAUGAUGACAUUAAAAAAUAGCAUGAUGUAUUUAACAUAUUUUAAUUUUAAAUUACAAAUCUAGUAAUUCUUCUAUACUUUCUAAUUUUCAUAUCAAGUUAAAAUAUAAGUUAAAUAAAUUAAAGGGAAAAGACUCAAAUAUGCAAUUAAAUUUUUAGAAAAAGUUUAUUUAUGUUAUCAGUUAAAAGUUUGGCUUAUUUAUGUCAUUACCGUUAAAGAAAAAACUCAUUCAUGCCAUUAUUUUUUAACGGUGGUUUUGCAAAACUAUUUUGACACGUGAUCAAUUAUAAUUCGGUUCACAUCAUUAAUUAUUUUAUUUGAAAAAAAUAGUUCAAAUUUUUAUUCAGAAUUUUAAUUUUUUUAUUAAAAAAAUUAAUAAUGUGGUCAAUUA
This 863-nucleotide unclassified non-coding RNA is filed under the name Hevea brasiliensis (rubber tree). Lineage: Eukaryota; Viridiplantae; Streptophyta; Magnoliopsida; Malpighiales; Euphorbiaceae. The record is from RNAcentral.